Nymphaea colorata (pocket water lily) is the source of this 1065-nucleotide long non-coding RNA. RefSeq lists it as uncharacterized. The transcript has 2 exons. The record is from RefSeq and is a predicted model, not a curated record. NCBI's taxonomy places the organism in Eukaryota, Viridiplantae, Streptophyta, Magnoliopsida, Nymphaeales, Nymphaeaceae.
AUAUGUAGGACAGGCUAGACUCGGAUAACAAGAGAGUUGAAUCUCUUGCUUUUGGAAAAAAAACAAGAAGCAAAUUCCAAGGUUUUAGCCAAUUAUUUGACAGUAAUGAAAAACAGACUCGAAGGAGGGCAUAUCUAAGCAAAGCAUGGCCCAAGCAGUCGGGAUACCAGAGUUGAAAGCAAGCGGUGCAGAGACAGGGAUGAGAAGUAGGCAAUUGAAGAGGAGACUGGACGGGCAACCUUCCAAGAAUCUCAUGGCUGACAGGAGAAGAAGUCGGUUGAAUGACAGGCUCUCCAUGCUUAGAUCUGUUGUUCCAAGAAUGAGCGAGGUUGAGAAAAGAUCAUUAAGCUUCAUCUGUUUGGCUUUCCUUCUUUUCUCUAGAUUUUAUGAAACUUUAUUUGGGAUUCCGUUAGAUGGACGGGACUUAUAUCCUUGGAGGCACUACUAAUUAUACCAAGGAACUCCUCGCCAGAUUCAAAUCCCUCCAAGAAGAAGUACAUCUAUCUGAGGAAAGCAGCGAUCAUCUAAAUCUUCAGAACUUUCUCAAGCAGCUAGAACGGGAUCAGGCUCUGGUGAGGAACACGCCCAGGGUGUGGUUUUAUGAAAAUGCAGUUUGACAUAGAAAAACAAGGUACAGAUACAAGGAUAGAUGUCUGCUGUGCAGAAAAGCCAGGAUUAUUGCUGUCAACGAUCAGCACCAUAGACGCGGUUGGGUCAGCGGCGUGUGAUAAGCUGCUUCAAUGAUUUUGGAAUGCAAGCUUCUUGCAGAGAGGUUAGUUCUUUUGACCAUCGUAGAGGACACGGUUAAGGUCUGAAGAUAUCAAGCAAGCACUAUUGAGAAAUGCAGGCUAUGGAGGAAGGUGUAACUGAAGAAGAACUGCAGAAAGCGCCUUUUGUUGCCCUCUUUUUCCCUCGAUGUGAUGACCAUAAUAAGCACUAAUUGUGAAGUAAAAGCUCAAAAUCCUAUUUUUGAUGACUGAGGAGACUGAUUAUCUUUGAACUAGCAAGCGUUUAUAAUAUAAUGCAUUGUAACUUUCUGUGUAUAAAGUACAAACAACUUUUCAA